Molecule: ribosomal RNA, 463 nt
Filed under: uncultured bacterium
Lineage: Bacteria
Description: partial 16S ribosomal RNA
Rfam family: Bacterial small subunit ribosomal RNA
Source: RNAcentral
CGAACGCUGGCGGCGUGCUUAACACAUGCAAGUCGACCGGAAAGGCCCUGCUUGCAGGGUACUCGAGUGGCGAACGGGUGAGUAACACGUGGGUGAUCUGCCCUGCACUUCGGGAUAAGCCUGGGAAACUGGGUCUAAUACCGGAUAGGAGCCAUUUUUAGUGUGAUGGUUGGAAAGUUUUUUCGGUGUAGGAUGAGCUCGCGGCCUAUCAGCUUGUUGGUGGGGUAAUGGCCUACCAAGGCGGCGACGGGUAGCCGGCCUGAGAGGGUGGACGGCCACAUUGGGACUGAGAUACGGCCCAGACUCCUACGGGAGGCAGCAGUGGGGAAUAUUGCACAAUGGGCGCAAGCCUGAUGCAGCGACGCCGCGUGGGGGAUGACGGCCUUCGGGUUGUAAACUCCUUUCGCUAGGGACGAAGCUUUUUGUGACGGUACCUAGAUAAGAAGCACCGGCUAACUACGUG